GAGUUUGAUCGUGGCUCAGGACGAACGCUGGCGGCGUGCCUAACACAUGCAAGUCGAACGAGAAUUUAAUUAAUGAACCUUCGGGGGAAUUAAUUGAAGGACAGUGGCGGACGGGCGAGUAACGCGUGAGUAACCUGCCCAUAAGAGAGGGAUAGCCUAUGGAAACGUGGAGUAAUACCUCAUAUUGUAUUUUAAUCGCAUGGUUGAAAUAUGAAAGAUUUAUCGCUUAUGGAUGGACUCGCGUCAGAUUAGAUAGUUGGUGAGGUAACGGCUCACCAAGUCGACGAUCUGUAGCCGAACUGAGAGGUUGAUCGGCCGCAUUGGGACUGAGACACGGCCCAGACUCCUACGGGAGGCAGCAGUGGGGAAUAUUGCGCAAUGGGGGAAACCCUGACGCAGCAACGCCGCGUGCAGGAAGAAGGUCUUCGGAUUGUAAACUGUUGUCGCAAGGGAAGAAGAAAGUGACGGUACCUUGUGAGAAAGUCACGGCUAACUACGUGCCAGCCGCCGCAG
This 513-nucleotide ribosomal RNA is filed under the name uncultured bacterium. RNAcentral's name for it is "bacterial SSU rRNA". It matches the Rfam family "Bacterial small subunit ribosomal RNA", at positions 9 to 520 of the family's 1533-position model. The record is from RNAcentral.